GCCCUUGUAGCUCAGUGGUAGAGCGCGUCCUUGGUAAGGACGAGGCCGCGGGUUCAAUCCCCGCCGAGGGCU
Molecule: transfer RNA, 72 nt
Filed under: Methylocella sp.
Lineage: Bacteria; Pseudomonadati; Pseudomonadota; Alphaproteobacteria; Hyphomicrobiales; Beijerinckiaceae
Also listed under: 6 other names
Description: tRNA-Thr
Rfam family: tRNA
About the family: Transfer RNA (tRNA) molecules are approximately 80 nucleotides in length.
Source: RNAcentral